RNAcentral lists this ribosomal RNA (513 nucleotides) under uncultured bacterium. RNAcentral's name for it is "bacterial SSU rRNA". It matches the Rfam family "Bacterial small subunit ribosomal RNA", at positions 501 to 1016 of the family's 1533-position model. The record is from RNAcentral.
CUACGUGCCAGCAGCCGCGGUAAUACGGAAGGUCCAGGCGUUAUCCGGAUUUAUUGGGUUUAAAGGGAGCGUAGGCUGGAGAUUAAGUGUGUUGUGAAAUGUAGACGCUCAACGUCUGAAUUGCAGCGCAUACUGGUUUCCUUGAGUACGCACAACGUUGGCGGAAUUCGUCGUGUAGCGGUGAAAUGCUUAGAUAUGACGAAGAACUCCGAUUGCGAAGGCAGCUGACGGGAGCGCAACUGACGCUUAAGCUCGAAGGUGCGGGUAUCAAACAGGAUUAGAUACCCUGGUAGUCCGCACAGUAAACGAUGGAUGCCCGCUGUUGGUACCUGGUAUCAGCGGCUAAGCGAAAGCAUUAAGCAUCCCACCUGGGGAGUACGCCGGCAACGGUGAAACUCAAAGGAAUUGACGGGGGCCCGCACAAGCGGAGGAACAUGUGGUUUAAUUCGAUGAUACGCGAGGAACCUUACCCGGGCUUGAAUUGCAGACGACGUAUUUAGAGAUAGAUAUUCA